RNAcentral lists this small RNA (730 nucleotides) under Pongo abelii (Sumatran orangutan). RNAcentral's name for it is "retained intron". The record is from RNAcentral. Lineage: Eukaryota; Metazoa; Chordata; Mammalia; Primates; Hominidae.
AAGAGGUGGGAGGGCCAAGGUAGGCUGUGUGUUUGACGUCAGGGAAGAGGGCCUCGUGAUGGAAAAUGUGGGCAACAUAAGCAAAAACCAGAAUCAGGAAUUGUACAUCAGGUGGCACUUGCAUAACUUUAAAAACUGACAUAAUGUGUUUUGUUUUCCCUUUAUAGGAGUGGUAUAAUUCAGGAAAACCUUGUGUGUUUUGGCUGUCAGGUUUCUUUUUCACUCAGGCCUUUUUAACUGGAGCUAUGCAGAAUUAUGCCAGAAAAUAUACCACCCCUAUUGAUUUGCUAGGAUAUGAAUUUGAGGUUAUCCCAUCUGAUACAUCUGACACAUCACCAGAAGAUGGUGUUUAUAUCCACGGAUUGUAUCUCGAUGGCGCACGCUGGGACCGAGAAAGUGGAUUGCUUGCUGAACAAUAUCCCAAACUUCUGUUUGACCUGAUGCCCAUCAUAUGGAUAAAACCAACUCAAAAAUCUCAGAUUAUAAAGUCGGAUGCCUAUGUCUGUCCCCUCUACAAGACAAGUGAACGUAAAGGAACUCUUUCCACUACGGGACAUUCUACUAACUUUGUCAUUGCAAUGUUGUUAAAAACAAACCAACCUACUCAGCACUGGAUCAAGCGCGGGGUUGCUUUGCUUUGUCAGUUGGAUGACUAAAUUGGACAAAUGUAUAAAACAUCCAAAAGUUUUUUUAAAAAACCUGUCCUACUUAAAAUAUAUACAUUAUAAAA